CUUCCCUCGAGCGCGGCUAGCCCUACGGGGCCUGCCGUCGCCCGGUGUUGGGGCUCUACGGGUGGGGCUCGUCCCCCCCGCAGUCCCCGAAAUGUAGUGGCGGUCCAGCCGCGGCGCCCCCUGCGUAGUAGAUCCUACAUCUCGCAUCGGGUCCCGGCGAAGGCCAGCCGUCGAACCUUUUAUUUCAUG
Molecule: unclassified non-coding RNA, 189 nt
Filed under: Scopulariopsis brevicaulis (arsenic fungus)
Lineage: Eukaryota; Fungi; Ascomycota; Sordariomycetes; Microascales; Microascaceae
Description: partial internal transcribed spacer 2
Source: RNAcentral